AAAGAAGGCUGGGUUUAAGGGCCCACACGCGUUUAUCGAAGGAAGAAUGAUUACUGGGUAACUCUGUUGACAUGAACCAAAUUGGAACUUAUCUUUGAGGGGCCAGGAGCUCAUCUAUGCUGCCAUGCCCAUCAAUGGGGUGCUGGCAAAGAACUUACCUCCAGCCUCACUUCUUGCCUCUGCUUACUAACGGUCGUCAAUGGAGAGAUGCAUCUAUUGACCCAGCACUAGGAGACUUGCAAGGUGAUGUGAAGUCCAGGCUGACAUACGGGCUUCAUACUGAUGUCUCUAAAUGGAGAGAGACCUGGUACUUGGCAUGAACAUUUUACUAGACAACUUUUACUUGUCUUUUUUUAAAUUAUUGAAUUGAAUGGUAUCAGUCAAUAUGGGGAGGGAGAAACCCAGUGUAUUCUGCACCAGGAUCAGGUAACUCCUGGUGUAUACAGGACACCAUAUAGGAAGGUAUGACCACUCUGACAUGUUUACCAAGGUAGCCCAAUUAUCACCAGACAAAAUGUUGAUAGGCACAGUAUCUGUAUCGGCAGGGAAUGACAAUGAAUGAUGAAAGGUGCACAUUGUUAUAUCAGCAGAACACUGAUUCUAUGGUUUUAUGUAAAGGGUUGUUUAUUCUACAUGGACCUGUUACUACAUUUGAAUGUUAUCAAAACACUUAGUUUAGAAUAUCUACACACAUUAUUUUUAUUUACCUUUAUUUAACUUGGGAUUCUUAUUUACAAUGACGGCCUACUAAAAUGCCUCCUGCGGGGAAGGAGGCUGGAAUUAUUUUUUUUAUUUUUUUUAAUUCAACACGCAUCACGACAAGAGAGACAACACUACAUAAAGCGAGACCUAAGACAACAACAUAGCAUGGCAGCAACACAUGACAACAAAGCAUGGUAGCAACACAACAUGACAACAAAAUGGUAUCAACACAGCAUUUCAGCAGCACAACAUGGUAGCAGCACAAAACAAGGUACAAACAUUAUUGGGCACAGACAACAGCACAAAGGGCAAGAAGGUAGAGACAACAAUACAUCACGCAAAGCAGCCACAACUGCCAGUAAGAGUGUCCAUGAUUGAGUCUUUGAAUGAAGAGAUUGAGAUAACUGUCCAGUUUGAGUGUUUGUUGCAGCUCGUUCCAGUCGCUAGCUGCAGCAAACUGAAAAGACGAGUAACUCAUGGAUGUGUGCGCUUUGGGGACCUUGGUAGAACGGGUGUUGUAUGUGGAGGAUGAGGGCUGCAUUAGAUAUCUCAGAUGGGGCGGGGGAGUGAGGUCUAAGGGUUUUAUAAAUAAGCAUCAACCAGUGGGUCUUGCGACGGGUAUACAGAGAUGACCAGUUUACAGAAGAGUAUAGAGUGCAGUGAUGUGUCCUAUAUGGAGCAUUGGUGGCAAAUCUGAUGGCCGAAUGGUAAAGAACAUCUAGCCGCUCGAGAGCAUCCUUACCUGCCAAUCUAUAAAUUACAUUCCCGUAAUCUAGCAUGGGUAAGAUGGUCAUCUGAAUCAGGGUUAGUUUGGCAGCUGGGGUGAAAGAGGAACGAUUACGAUAGAAGAAACCAAAUCUAGAUUUAACUUUAGCCUGCAGCUUUGAUAUGUGCUGAGAGAAGGACAGUGUACCAUCUAGCCAUACUCCCAAGUACGUAUAUGAGGUAACUACCUCAAGUUCUAAACCCGCAGAGGUAGUAAUCACACCUGUGGGAAGAGGGGCAUUCGUCUUACCAAACCACAUGGGGUGGGGGGGGGGGCA
Long non-coding RNA from Oncorhynchus nerka (sockeye salmon), 1745 nucleotides. RefSeq lists it as uncharacterized. The record is from RefSeq and is a predicted model, not a curated record. The transcript is spliced from 3 exons. NCBI's taxonomy places the organism in Eukaryota, Metazoa, Chordata, Actinopteri, Salmoniformes, Salmonidae.